CACCCAAAUGCACACUCGUGCACAUGCUCAUAUGUAUGCACUUGUGCACAUGUUCACACAUGCACACACAGAUGCACACAUGCACAAGCUCUCACAUGUGCAUGUGCACACACAUUCAUGAACACAAACUCGCACUCAGGAGCUCACACUCACAUACACAUGCUUUCACACACGCAGGUGCCGAUGUUCAACGCUGGUGAUUCAAACCAGAAGAGACCUCCACGCCUGUUUGGAGGAGACACCUGGUAUUUCCUUCAUGGGAAGCAAGCGCCAAAUGGAAAAGAGUUUUGCCCUCAGCUUUGACAGACGUGCAUCCUGCCCCGUGGCUCGUCCAGCCCCAGCCCCAAGACAUUCUGGGAGCCCCGAGAACUGCACGGGGCCCGUUGGUGCAGAAACAGCACUCCUCAUCUCCCCACGCCGUCCCUCCUGCAUGUGGACAGGCUCCCGUCACCCUGGCUCCAGUUCCCAUCAGGCCUGGCAAGUCACCUGGACGCUAAUGAAGCUCCACACACAUCCACACAGUUUGAUUUGAUUUCAAUUAGUUCAGUAUUUAUCAUCCACCAAGAAAAAGCUGAUCAAACUGUCUGAGCUCUGCAGGCGUGAGUCUGAGCUGUGUCUCACUUGCCGGUAGAGGCCCGGCCGCAGAAAGCAAAUAACUCAGUGCGUCUUGCCGGGCAGCCACCGUUGUCCACACACCCUGGGGUCUGCCCAGGUGUCCACCUGCACAGCGAGGACCCGGAGGGAGCCGGGAGCUGAG
Molecule: long non-coding RNA, 757 nt
Organism: Canis lupus familiaris (dog)
Lineage: Eukaryota; Metazoa; Chordata; Mammalia; Carnivora; Canidae
Exons: 3
Source: RefSeq, a predicted model, not a curated record